This 440-nucleotide ribosomal RNA is filed under the name uncultured bacterium. Its description in RNAcentral is "partial 16S ribosomal RNA". It matches the Rfam family "Bacterial small subunit ribosomal RNA", at positions 338 to 795 of the family's 1533-position model. The record is from RNAcentral.
CCUACGGGAGGCAGCAGUGGGGAAUAUUGCACAAUGGGGGAAACCCUGAUGCAGCGACGCCGCGUGAGUGAAGAAGUAUUUCGGUAUGUAAAGCUCUGUCAGCAGGGAAGAAAAUGACGGUACCUGACCAAGAAGCCCCGGCUAACUACGUGCCAGCAGCCGCGGUAAUACGUAGGGGGCAAGCGUUAUCCGGAUUUACUGGGUGUAAAGGGAGCGUAGACGGCAGGGCAAGUCUGGAGUGAAAGGCGGGGGCUCAACCCCCGGGCUGCUCUGGAAACUGCGCGGCUGGAGUGCAGGAGAGGUAAGGGGAAUUCCUAGGGUAGCGGUGAAAUGCGUAGAUAUUAGGGGGAACAACAGUGGCGAAGGCGGCUUACUGGACUGUAACUGACGUUGAGGCUCGAAAGCGUGGGGAGCAAACAGGAUUAGGUACCCGAGUAGUC